GAUUGCAGUCUGCAACUCGACUGCAUGAAGUCGGAAUCGCUAGUAAUCGCGGAUCAGCAUGCCGCGGUGAAUACGUUCCCGGGCCUUGUACACACCGCCCGUCACACCAUGAGAGUCGGGAACACCCGAAGUCCGUAGCCUAACCGCAAGGAGGGCGCGGCCGAAGGUGGGUUCGAUAAUUGGGUGAAGUCGUAACAAGGUAAC
This 204-nucleotide ribosomal RNA is filed under the name uncultured bacterium. RNAcentral describes it as "partial 16S ribosomal RNA". It matches the Rfam family "Bacterial small subunit ribosomal RNA", at positions 1296 to 1500 of the family's 1533-position model. The record is from RNAcentral.